Molecule: ribosomal RNA, 443 nt
Filed under: uncultured bacterium
Lineage: Bacteria
Description: bacterial SSU rRNA
Rfam family: Bacterial small subunit ribosomal RNA
Source: RNAcentral
AACGCGAAGAACCUUACCGGGGCUUGACAUCCAGCGACAUUCUAAGAGAUUAGAUUUCCGGGCAACCGGACGCUGAGACAGGUGCUGCAUGGCUGUCGUCAGCUCGUGCCGUGAGAUGUUGGGUUAAGUCCCGCAACGAGCGCAACCCUUAUUGCCAGUUGCCACCGGGUUAUGCCGAGCACUCUGGCGAAACCGCGCAGGAUAACUGCGAGGAAGGUGGGGAUGACGUCAAGUCCUCAUGGCCUUUAUGUCCAGGGCUACACACGUGCUACAAUGGUCGGUACAAACCGUCGCAAACCCGCGAGGGGGAGCUAAUCGGAAAAAGCCGGCCUCAGUUCGGAUUGGAGUCUGCAACCCGACUCCAUGAAGCUGGAAUCGCUAGUAAUCGCGGAUCAGAACGCCGCGGUGAAUACGUUCCCGGGCCUUGUACACACCGACUGUAC